This 225-nucleotide ribosomal RNA is filed under the name uncultured bacterium. RNAcentral describes it as "partial 16S ribosomal RNA". It matches the Rfam family "Bacterial small subunit ribosomal RNA", at positions 15 to 244 of the family's 1533-position model. The record is from RNAcentral.
GAUCCUGGCUCAGGAUGAACGCUGGCGGCGUGCCUAAUACAUGCAAGUCGAACGCUUCACUUCGGUGAAGAGUGGCGAACGGGUGAGUAAUACAUAAGUAACCUGGCAUCUACAGGGGGAUAACUGAUGGAAACGUCAGCUAAGACCGCAUAGGUGUAGAGAUCGCAUGAACUCUAUAUGAAAAGUGCUACGGGACUGGUAGAUGAUGGACUUAUGGCGCAUUAG